Long non-coding RNA from Patella vulgata (common limpet), 1037 nucleotides. RefSeq lists it as uncharacterized. NCBI's taxonomy places the organism in Eukaryota, Metazoa, Mollusca, Gastropoda, Patellidae. The transcript has 4 exons. The record is from RefSeq and is a predicted model, not a curated record.
UGAGAAGGGAUGCGGACGUGAAUAACUCGAGAUGAAAGUUGGUGGUAUUUUCUUACUUGCAAUGUGCUUUUUGUGGACACACAUCCAGCAUACUGAAAAUACCCAACUUAUGACGUCGGGGGAUAAUAAAGUUGGUUACAUUAAGGACGUGCGACGACAAAUUGGUGUAGUAUUUGCUGUAAAAUCCAAAUACAACCCACAAAUAUGGCUGUUUAAAGAAAUGACAAAUGUGGGAUCAUUUAGAAUUGGUGUGCAAGAAUUAUUCGUACAGAUAGAGAUUGGAUGUACAUAUGACAAUUACGACUACAAUGACGUAAACAUUACAGACUUCGAUGAGUUUAAAUGGCAUUGGAUAUCAUGGGAAGCGGAUAACUUUGCUAUAGGUACGGGUCAAGUGGUGGGUUUAAAUGUUGUUGGAAAAGCUCUAAGUUAUGUUCCUGCAGUUUCAUAUCUUGGAUUCGGUAAUCUGGACGGUGGAGUAGUGCAUUGGAAGUUCGAUCAGACUGAUGAACGCAUUAAAACCACACGGUUUGAUUUAAUGGAGAAUACCCGGACUACACCUGUUAACACGACUCUUACAGCCUUGUCCAAAAGCCAGUGUUCUCUGGAAUGCAACCAGAAGAAUGGUUGCUAUGGUUUCAACUACAUGCCAACUGCUUCAAUUGAUAAUUGUGAAUUAAUAACGCAAACAAGUGACGGUUCCGAUUGUACUGUGCAGUGGAAUCUGACAAUGGAACAUAAUGUUGAUACUAGCUAUGGUUACUAUCAUAUUUAACAGUGGUGGCACUAUUUUGCAGUUACCACUUUGUCCAACAGAUUAAUGAACGGGUUUGCAGGUACGAAAAAGAUAACAGAAUGACUAUAGGUGACGGUAUAAAAUCCGAAAUCAAUGUAAACAUUCAAUGGUCUAAACUUAAUUUAUUUACUUUUUUUUAGAUAAAUAAAGUAACUUGAUUGUAAAUAUAUAUUAUGGCAUAUCGCAUAUAGCGUUUUAUAGUUAAUCGAUUUUAAUGAAUAAAAGUAAUUGGCACGUGUUA